GACGAACGCUGGCGGCGUGCCUAAUACAUGCAAGUAGAACGCACAGUUUAUACCGUAGCUUGCUACACCAUAGACUGUGAGUUGCGAACGGGUGAGUAACGCGUAGGUAACCUGCCUGGUAGCGGGGGAUAACUAUUGGAAACGAUAGCUAAUACCGCAUAAAUUUGAUUAUUGCAUGAUAAUUGAUUGAAAGAUGCUAUUGCAUCACUACCAGAUGGACCUGCGUUGUAUUAGCUAGUAGGUGAGGUAACGGCUCACCUAGGCGACGAUACAUAGCCGACCUGAGAGGGUGAUCGGCCACACUGGGACUGAGACACGGCCCAGACUCCUACGGGAGGCAGCAGUAGGGAAUCUUCGGCAAUGGACGAAAGUCUGACCGAGCAACGCCGCGUGAGUGAAGAAGGUUUUCGGAUCGUAAAGCUCUGUUGUAAGAGAAGAACGGGUGUGAGAGUGGAAAGUUCACACUGUGACGGUAUCUUACCAGAAAGGGACGGCUAACUACGUG
This 505-nucleotide ribosomal RNA is filed under the name uncultured bacterium. Its description in RNAcentral is "partial 16S ribosomal RNA". It matches the Rfam family "Bacterial small subunit ribosomal RNA", at positions 28 to 507 of the family's 1533-position model. The record is from RNAcentral.